Molecule: ribosomal RNA, 226 nt
Filed under: uncultured bacterium
Lineage: Bacteria
Description: partial 16S ribosomal RNA
Rfam family: Bacterial small subunit ribosomal RNA
Source: RNAcentral
GAUCAUGGCUCAGGAUGAACGCUAGCGGCAGGCUUAACACAUGCAAGUCGAGGGGUAUAGUUCUUCGGAACUAGAGACCGGCGCACGGGUGCGUAACGCGUAUGCAAUCUACCUUUUGCAGAGGGAUAGCCCAGAGAAAUUUGGAUUAAUACCUCAUAGUAUGUGAGAAUGGCAUCAUUUUCACAUUAAAGUCACAACGGCAAAAGAUGAGCAUGCGUCCCAUUAG